GGCCUCCCGACCGGAACUUCCUCCUGAGCGACGGGGAGGAGUCCGCUUCUGCCGCCUAGCACAGCUCUGCGCCUCGGCUCUGACAGGAGCUCUGGGCUCCCUGCUGACGACUUUGGGGUGUGUGUUGCGGAGGGGUUCGGGGUCCACCUCUUUGUGCGUUGGUGGUGACGAUCAUUUGUUCUAGCUGGGAGACAGUCCCCUUCUUGGCCCUGCGCUGAAUUGUCCUGAGAUUAAUGGUGAAGAUUAGGUAACAUUAACACAACGUCUUCGUUAGUUAUAUGAAAUUACAUUUUAGAACUUUUUUUUAAAAAGCUUAACAGCUGUUUUUAUAUUGUGCUUAAUUCAGAAAUAGUUACCAUUUUGCUCUUAUAUGGCUCAGACAAACUAAUGUUAUUUUGCCACACUAUACCCAAGAUCUUCUUUAAAAUUAUAGAUUUAUUUCAAAUAGGCCACAUAUUGCCUCAACACUGCAUUACUUUCACCAAUUUAUAAUUUAGGCACCUGUUCUUUGAAAACGACUGCUUUGAGGAAUAAACUGCCACCUUCUGCUUCUACGUGACACCAGGCAGGGACUACAAAAGUGCUUCCCAGAUGAAAGAUAAGAAUAGGGUCCACUCUACAAACACUGUGAUUUUGGUUGCUGGGGAAAAUGGUUACAAACAUAGUAGUUCAGUCUUUCACUCUUGGUAGAUUGUAAGCAUAGCGUACCAAAGGGAAUCCUCGACUCUGGUAGAAGCAGGCACGUCCGCAGGCCUGCACCUGGUCAGAACUGUCU
This is a long non-coding RNA of Ochotona princeps (American pika), 775 nucleotides long. RefSeq lists it as uncharacterized. Lineage: Eukaryota; Metazoa; Chordata; Mammalia; Lagomorpha; Ochotonidae. The record is from RefSeq and is a predicted model, not a curated record. The transcript has 2 exons.